Molecule: ribosomal RNA, 273 nt
Filed under: uncultured bacterium
Lineage: Bacteria
Description: partial 16S ribosomal RNA
Rfam family: Bacterial small subunit ribosomal RNA
Source: RNAcentral
UCCAGCGUGUUCAAGCGUUAAUCGGAUUUACUGGGCGUAAAGCGUGCGUAGGCGGUUCGUUAAGUCGAUUGUGAAAGCCCUGGGCUUAACCUGGGAAUUGCAGUCGAUACUGGCGGACUAGAGAACGGUAGAGGGAGGCGGAACUCCAGGUGUAGCGGUGAAAUGCGUAGAUAUCUGGAAGAACACCGAUGGCGAAGGCAACCUCCUGGGCCUGUUCUGACGCGGAGGCACGAAAGCGGGGGUAGCAAACAGGAGGAGAUAACCCCGUAGUCC